CGUGCUAGGUCCUAUUUUAAAGUUUGGCACAUGGCCUCGGUUGCUGGGGCGGCCUGUUAAAUCAAUCCACGCCACAUUUUCGCCGGAUACGUAUCUUUGCUUUAAAAAAAACAAAGAGAACUGAUGCACAGGACAUGAAUCAACCAUAUAAAUUAAACUCUGAACUUAACUCUUUAUAUAUGUCACAAUUCAACGUUGAUAAACCGUCACAGAUGAUAGAAUUUUAUGAUAUUUUUUUCAAACGUCACCAAUAAACCGUCAUGUAAUAAAGUCUUAUUUCGUGUAGUGAACUUAUCUUUGACUUCUCCUUCACAUUUGCUUUGUUUUAGUUUUUCACGCUACCGUGUAGCUACCACUUCAAACUAAGAAUGGACAAUACAUGAGUAGCUUUCCACAGAUCAGGAUGUAAUCACCUGGGUCAAGAUUUGCAUAGUAAUAGGAUUAGUCCACAUUCCAGGAUCGAUAGCGUGAACGUGAGAUUGU
RNAcentral lists this long non-coding RNA (483 nucleotides) under Sorghum bicolor (sorghum). Its description in RNAcentral is "long non-coding RNA (SBIC_LNC013292)". The record is from RNAcentral. Lineage: Eukaryota; Viridiplantae; Streptophyta; Magnoliopsida; Poales; Poaceae.